UGAGGAAUAUUGGUCAAUGGACGGAAGUCUGAACCAGCCAUGCCGCGUGCAGGAUGAAGCAUCUAUGGUGUGUAAACUGCUUUUGUACGGGAAGAAAAAACAUUACGUGUAAUGUACUGACGGUACCGUAAGAAUAAGGAUCGGCUAACUCCGUGUCAG
This 159-nucleotide ribosomal RNA is filed under the name uncultured bacterium. Its description in RNAcentral is "partial 16S rRNA". It matches the Rfam family "Bacterial small subunit ribosomal RNA", at positions 355 to 511 of the family's 1533-position model. The record is from RNAcentral.